RNAcentral lists this ribosomal RNA (500 nucleotides) under uncultured bacterium. RNAcentral's name for it is "bacterial SSU rRNA". It matches the Rfam family "Bacterial small subunit ribosomal RNA", at positions 28 to 502 of the family's 1533-position model. The record is from RNAcentral.
GAUGAACGCUAGCGACAGGCCUAACACAUGCAAGUCGAGGGGCAUCGGGGUGUAGCAAUACGCUGCCGGCGACCGGCGGAUGGGUGAGUAACGCGUAUGCAACCUGCCUUCAGCAGGGGGAUAGCCCGUUGAAAGACGGAUUAAUACCCCGUAACACAGGGGCUCCGCAUGGAGAUUAUUGUUAAAGGGAUGCUUCCUUCGGGGAGUAUUCCGGCUGAAGAUGGGCAUGCGUUCCAUUAGGUAGUUGGUUGAGGUAACGGCUCACCAAGCCUGCGAUGGAUAGGGGAACUGAGAGGUUGGUCCCCCACACUGGUACUGAGACACGGACCAGACUCCUACGGGAGCAGCAGUGAGGAAUCUUGGCAAUGGACGGAAGUCUGAACCAGCCAUGUCGCGUGAAGGAGGACGGCCCUAAGGGUUGUAAACUUCUUUUGCAGGGGAAUAAAGUAUUCCACGAGAUGGGAUAUUGCAAGUACGCUGCGAAUAAGGAUCGGCUAACU